Molecule: ribosomal RNA, 383 nt
Filed under: uncultured eukaryote
Lineage: Eukaryota
Description: partial 18S ribosomal RNA
Rfam family: Eukaryotic small subunit ribosomal RNA
Source: RNAcentral
CAAUAGCGUAUAUUGAAGUUGUUGCAGUUAAAAAGCUCGUAGUUGGAUUUCUGGUGGGAGCGAUCGGUCUGGCGCUUAGCGCGAGUACUUGCAUCGUCUCCGGCCAUCCUUGGGGAGAGUCUGUCUGGCAUUAGGUUGUCGGGCAGAGGAUCCUCAUCGUUUACUGUGAAAAAAUUAGAGUGUUCAAAGCAGGCUUAUGCCGUUGAAUAUAUUAGCAUGGAAUAAUAAGAUAGGACUUUGGUACUAUUUUGUUGGUUUGCGCACCAAAGUAAUGAUUAAUAGGGACAGUUGGGGGUAUUCGUAUUCCGUUGUCAGAGGUGAAAUUCUUGGAUUUACGGAAGACGAACUACUGCGAAAGCAUUUACCAAGGAUGUUUUCAUUAA